CCUACGGGAGGCAGCAGUGGGGAAUAUUGCACAAUGGGGGAAACCCUGAUGCAGCGACGCCGCGUGAGUGAAGAAGUAUUUCGGUAUGUAAAGCUCUGUCAGCAGGGAAGAAAAUGACGGUACCUGACCAAGAAGCCCCGGCUAACUACGUGCCAGCAGCCGCGGUAAUAAGGAGGGGGCAAGCGUUAACCGGAUUUACUGGGGGGAAAGGGGGCGUAGACGGGAGGGCCAGGCUGGAGUGAAAGGCGGGGGCUCAACCCCCGGACUGCUCUUGAAACUGCAAGGCUGGAGUGCAGGAGGGGUAAGUGGAAUUCCUAGUGUAGCGGUGAAAUGCGUAGAUAUUAGGAGGAACACCAGUGGCGAAGGCGGCUUACUGGACUGUAACUGACGUUGAGGCUCGAAAGCGUGGGGAGCGAACAGGAUUAGAUACCCCUGUAGUC
RNAcentral lists this ribosomal RNA (440 nucleotides) under uncultured bacterium. RNAcentral's name for it is "partial 16S ribosomal RNA". It matches the Rfam family "Bacterial small subunit ribosomal RNA", at positions 338 to 795 of the family's 1533-position model. The record is from RNAcentral.